This is an RNA transcript of Populus euphratica (Euphrates poplar), 4596 nucleotides long. It is a transcript of the gene named splicing factor 3B subunit 3-like, with no coding region annotated. The record is from RefSeq and is a predicted model, not a curated record. The transcript has 7 exons. NCBI's taxonomy places the organism in Eukaryota, Viridiplantae, Streptophyta, Magnoliopsida, Malpighiales, Salicaceae.
CAUGUGCCAAGUCAAUAGUCAGACGACAAGUGAUUUUUGUCGCAGAAAUCCAGUCUCUCUAACUAGCUCUCUUAUUUAAAACCCUAAAACCCCGAUCCCCACCAUUUCACUCCCACUACAAAACCCAACAUUACCAUGUACCUCUACAGCCUCACUCUCCAACGAGCUACCGGAAUCGUUUCCGCCAUAAACGGCAACUUCUCCGGCGGCAAAGCACAAGAAAUCGUUGUUGCUCGCGGCAAAGUUCUCGAUCUCCUCCGACCUGACGAGAACGGUAAGCUACAAACAGUUCUCUCUGUUGAAAUAUUCGGUGCUAUUCGCUCAUUAGCUCAGUUUAGACUAACUGGAGCUCAAAAAGAUUAUAUUGUUGUUGGUUCCGAUUCGGGCAGGAUUGUAAUUUUAGAAUAUAACAAGGAGAGAAAUGUCUUUGACAAAAUUCAUCAAGAAACUUUUGGAAAAUCUGGUUGUCGCCGUAUUGUUCCGGGUCAGUAUUUGGCUGUGGAUCCGAAAGGAAGGGCUGUUAUGAUUGGUGCCUGUGAGAAACAGAAGCUAGUUUAUGUUUUGAAUAGAGAUACUGUUGCUAGGUUAACCAUUUCUUCGCCUUUAGAGGCACAUAAGUCGCAUACUAUAUGUUACUCAGUAUGUGGUGUUGAUUGUGGGUUUGAUAAUCCGAUUUUUGCUGCGAUUGAGUUGGAUUAUUCGGAAGCUGAUCAGGACUCGACAGGGCAAGCUGCUAGUGAAGCGCAGAAGAAUUUGACAUUUUAUGAGCUUGAUCUGGGGCUUAAUCAUGUGUCUAGGAAAUGGUCUGAGCAGGUUGAUAAUGGCGCUAAUAUGCUUGUUACAGUACCUGGAGGUGGUGAUGGGCCAAGUGGGAUUUUAGUUUGUGCGGAGAAUUUCGUGAUUUAUAAGAAUCAAGGGCAUCCUGAUGUGAGGGCUGUGAUUCCUAGGCGUGCUGAUUUGCCCGCUGAACGUGGGGUUUUGAUAGUUUCUGCAGCAACACAUAAGCAGAAAUCGAUGUUUUUCUUUUUGUUGCAGACUGAGUACGGUGACAUUUUUAAGGUUACACUGGAUCAUGAGAAUGACAAGGUUAAGGAGUUGAAGAUUAAGUAUUUUGACACGAUCCCGGUUACUUCUUCGAUAUGUGUGUUGAAAUCAGGGUUUUUGUUUGCUGCGUCAGAGUUUGGGAAUCAUGCAUUGUAUCAGUUUCAGGCCAUUGGGGAGGAAGAGGAUGUGGAGGCCUCCUCUGCUACUUUGAUGGAAACCGAGGAAGGCUUCCAGCCUGUUUUUUUCCAGCCAAGAGGGUUAAAGAAUCUUGUUAGGAUUGACCAGGUUGAGAGCUUGAUGCCUAUUAUGGACAUGAAGGUUGCUAAUCUUUUUGAUGAAGAAACCCCUCAGAUAUUUUCACUUUGUGGGCGGGGUCCUCGCUCCUCAUUGAGGAUACUGAGGCCUGGUUUGGCUAUUAGUGAGAUGGCUGUGUCACAGCUUCCUGGUGUACCAAGUGCUGUUUGGACUGUGAAAAGGAAUCUUAAUGAUGAGUUUGAUGCAUAUAUUGUUGUGUCCUUCAACAACGCAACUCUUGUGCUUUCAAUUGGAGAAACAGUUGAGGAAGUUGGCGAUAGUGGGUUUCUUGAUACCACACCUUCCCUUGCUGUUUCUUUAAUUGGUGAUGAUUCUUUGAUGCAAAUUCACCCAAAUGGCAUAAGACAUAUUAGGGAAGAUGGGCGUAUUAAUGAGUGGAGAACUCCUGGAAAGAGGACAAUUGUGAAAGUUGGCUCAAAUAGACUUCAAGUGGUUAUUGCUUUAAGUGGAGGAGAGCUUAUAUAUUUUGAGGUGGAUAUGACUGGUCAGCUAAUGGAGGUGGAGAAGCAUGAGAUGUCUGGAGAUGUGGCCUGUUUGGACAUUGCCCCUGUUCCAGAAGGAAGACAGAGGUCUCGAUUCCUAGCAGUUGGUUCGUAUGAUAACACCAUCCGUGUCUUGUCUUUGGAUCCUGAUGACUGUAUGCAGAUUCUGAGUGUGCAAAGUGUUUCAGCGCCUCCAGAAUCCCUCCUGUUUCUUGAGGUUCAGGCAUCAAUUGGUGGUGAAGAUGGUGCUGAUCACCCUGCCAGUCUUUUCCUCAAUGCUGGUUUGCAGACUGGGGUUCUCUUUAGGACAGUGGUGGAUAUGGUGACAGGCCAGCUUUCUGACUCCCGUUCCCGGUUUUUGGGGUUGAGGGCCCCAAAACUUUUUGCCAUUAAUGUGAGAGGUCGACGUGCGAUGCUGUGCUUAUCUAGCCGACCUUGGCUUGGUUAUAUUCACCAAGGGCAUUUUCUGUUAACGCCCCUUUCAUAUGAAACUCUUGAGUAUGCUGCUUCAUUCUCAUCUGAUCAGUGUGCAGAAGGUGUGGUUGCUGUCGCUGGGGAUGCAUUGAGGAUUUUUACAAUUGAGAGAUUGGGAGAAACAUUCAAUGAAACUGCAAUACCUCUAAGAUACACUCCAAGAAAGUUUGUGCUUCAACCUAAGCGGAAAUUGUUGGUCAUUAUUGAGAGUGAUCAAGGAGCAUAUACAGCAGAGGAGCGUGAAGCAGCAAAAAAGGAGUGCUUUGAAGCUGCUGGAAUGGGGGAAAAUGGCAGUGCCAGCGCUGAGAAGAUGGAAAAUGGUGAUGAUGAUGAUAAAGAUGACCCCCUCUCUGAUGAGCAGUAUGGUUAUCCAAAGGCUGAGGCAGACAGGUGGGUUUCUUGCAUUAGAGUACUUGACCCAAGGUCAGCUACUACUACGUGCUUGCUGGAACUUCAGGACAAUGAAGCUGCUUUUAGCUUAUGCACUGUAAAUUUCCACGACAAGGAGCAUGGAACUCUCUUAGCUGUUGGUACAGCCAAGGGACUGCAGUUUUGGCCCAAAAGAAGCUUAAUUGCUGGGUUCAUUCACAUUUAUAAAUUUGUGGAUGAUGGUAAAAGCCUGGAACUCUUGCAUAAGACACAAGUAGAAGGAGUUCCACUUGCUUUGUGUCAGUUUCAGGGAAGAUUACUUGCAGGAAUAGGGUCCGUGCUUAGAUUGUAUGACUUGGGGAAAAAAAGGCUGCUUAGAAAAUGUGAGAAUAAGCUGUUCCCCAACUCCAUUGUCUCUAUUCACACCUAUCGUGAUCGGAUUUAUGUGGGGGACAUUCAAGAAUCAUUUCAUUUCUGCAAGUACAGGCGGGAUGAAAAUCAGCUGUAUAUUUUUGCUGAUGACAGUGUUCCAAGAUGGCUUACAGCUUCAUACCAUGUAGAUUUUGAUACCAUGGCUGGUGCAGACAAGUUUGGGAAUAUCUACUUUGUGAGGUUGCCGCAGGAUGUUUCUGAUGAGAUAGAAGAAGAUCCAACUGGCGGAAAGAUAAAGUGGGAGCAGGGAAAGCUUAAUGGAGCUCCAAACAAGGUAGAGGAGAUAGUACAGUUUCAUAUUGGCGAUGUGGUUAAUUGCUUGCAGAAGGCAUCUCUAAUUCCAGGCGGUGGAGAAUGCAUCAUGUAUGGGACAGUGAUGGGGAGUGUGGGGGCCCUACUUCCAUUCACCUCUCGAGAUGAUGUUGACUUCUUUUCACACUUGGAGAUGCAUUUGAGACAAGACCACCCACCUUUGUGUGGAAGAGAUCAUAUGGCAUAUAGGUCUGCUUAUUUUCCUGUUAAGGAUGUGAUCGAUGGAGACCUAUGUGAGCAGUUCCCGACUUUGCCGCUUGAUGCACAAAGAAAAAUUGCAGAUGAGCUGGACAGAACUCCUGGGGAGAUACUCAAGAAACUUGAAGAAGUUCGAAACAAGAUCAUCUGAGGAAGGAUUAGCUUGAAGUGUCAAAGUCCAUGUGCCAUGUCAACCAAUAAGUUUAGAAAUCUGCAUCAUAUGGAAGAUUGCUGGAGCGACCCUCUGAAGAAGUGCACUUUAUGAUUGAACCCUCAGGAAAGGGGUUUGAUUUUUGACCUUCUGGCCCUUCUAGGAGAGGCUAGAAGAUUUCAAUGUCAACCCUCUUCUCCAUGCAGUGGUUCUAUCAAAACCUGUUGCAAUGGGACCUGUAUAGAUAGUAACCUGAGUGUGGUAUUAUUUAGCACCCUGCAAAUGUUGAUACUUGCAAUCAUUGUCCACCUGGUGGCAUGCCAUUGACCUUGUGGUUGGUAGUGGCUUGUUACAUGGGGGCAUAUGGGUCGUUGUAUCUGAAAUAAUGAUUGCUUUCUGUUAGUCACAGCGAGGUGAAGUGCUCUGGGCAUCAGCUUUUCUAAUUGAGGUAAAGAUAAUUUUUUUGAACAACAGCUAGAUAGUGAUGGAGGUUGAUGCUAGAUCAGUUUUCGUUGGUGAUGAAGAAGUCGCUGUAGAGAGAGCUUAGUUUGUUGUAAGAUAAACAGACAGUUGCAAUGUCAAUCUCCAAGAUGGUAUGUGUUACCAUUUGUGAAUUUGAUGGUUGCUUAGAUUUGUUGUUUUAAGUAGAAACGGGCAAAGAAUUUUAAACUGAUUGAUUAAUGCAACCAGCAGAGCAUUGCGUAGAAAAUAUGAAAGGUAGGUUAGAUCUGCUCCCCACUGUGUGCUCGUUUUUUCCACAAUUUUUGGAUCCAUUCGUUGUCGUGUUGGGGUCCAUAAUUUUGAUCGUGCUAUUUUAGG